RNAcentral lists this unclassified non-coding RNA (446 nucleotides) under Hevea brasiliensis (rubber tree). Lineage: Eukaryota; Viridiplantae; Streptophyta; Magnoliopsida; Malpighiales; Euphorbiaceae. The record is from RNAcentral.
GGCCGUUGGAGCACCAGCUUCAAACUUGAAAAACCUCUCUUCUCUUCGAUGCAACCCCUUAUUAACACCAACAGCAACCACAGAUCGGUUCGCUUCACUUCACUGCGCCAUAUCCAUACCAGGGAGAGAGACAGACCACACUGCGUACCCUUUUAGCCUGAUAAAUUGCUUGCUUGAGAGAAUUAUAUAUGACAGGCAUUGUCAUGGUGAACAAAGGAGGUGGCCGAGGUAGUGGGGCUGCGGGAGCGAAGGGUGCAAGAGGGAGCGAAAACGAGCAGAACCAGCUGUCUAUGGCGGCGAUUAUAUUGGAAGCUAUAAGGAAGUCAGUGUCUUGCAGUUUUGAGGAGAAAGAAGAUGUGAUUCCUGACGUUCAUCAUUUGGAGAUCGGGUGGCCUACGAAUGUUCAGCAUAUUACCCAUGUCACGUUCGAUCGCUUCAAUGGGUUU